Molecule: long non-coding RNA, 666 nt
Filed under: Vigna radiata
Lineage: Eukaryota; Viridiplantae; Streptophyta; Magnoliopsida; Fabales; Fabaceae
Description: long non-coding RNA (VRAD_LNC002252)
Source: RNAcentral
CCAGGGAAGGAUUGUUCCAUCUCGUAACCGUUCGGUCUGGCCAGGGUGCCUGUUAAUGGUACCCAAUUCAAUCCCAAUGGUUCGGUCACUGCUACUAGUGUUCGGUUUAUUGCUUAGAGCUUGUGGUUGGUUGGUUUAUCUGAUUGUUUGUGGCAAAUUAAGGUGUGUAUGAUUUAUAUGACUCGGAAAAGUAUCAAGUAAUUGGAUUGGUUGGAUUCGGUUGCGAAAUUAAGAUCUCUCGGUGGGAUCAAUUAGUGUAUUGAAUGUAUGUAAGAGGCUUCCACUAUGGGGGGUUAUCCCUAACACUCUAACGGUCUUUCAUUCUCACUUAGAGAGGAUUGACGCGUGUGGUGAGAGUAGUGGGAGGUCCUAGGGUAGGCGCUUUCACUGUAGGCCUAUACUGCGGUAACGGACCAGCCUUGUGUAUGGUCGGGUGGAACCCCUCGGCAAUGGCUUUGCAAAGCAGUAGGGCCAUCACAAGUGCACAACCCGCCUCAGCUCUAUAUACAUUCUAUGUCCGGACGUGUCUAGGAGUCUUAACAUGACAUGAUGUUUGCUUUAGUAAGUUUUGUGAAAUCAAUGUUUAUGUUUAUGAUGACUUAUAUGUUUAAGUGUGUAUGAACGUUUCUUGCAAUGAAUUGUAUGUUUGUUUGAAAACUAGCUCAC